Long non-coding RNA from Seriola aureovittata, 1097 nucleotides. RefSeq lists it as uncharacterized. The record is from RefSeq and is a predicted model, not a curated record. The transcript is spliced from 3 exons. Lineage: Eukaryota; Metazoa; Chordata; Actinopteri; Carangiformes; Carangidae.
GGUAGAGCUGAAUAACAUAAAAAUAGUGGGAGAAAACAACAUUUUAAUAUAUUUCACAACACACUGUUAAACAUUACAUCAGGUCCCUAAUUUAACCACAAGAGGGUGCUGUUAUAUGUAAAAACGGAAUAAAACAACAGGCUACCAAUGUGUACUAUGUUGGCAGUUCAUUAGGUACACCUAGCUGAAACUAAGUUGAACAGAAACAGCUCUCAGUGUAAUGUAAUGCAGUUCAGCAGCACAACAAAGUGCAUUCUCCAAAAACUGAAUCAACACCUCUCAAUUUCGGUAAAAACUGAACAGGACUGUUGUAUCUGACUGCAGUAGUUUCAGGUGUAUGUAUGUGCAACAGAAACUUCCUCUCAUUUUGUACGUGUAAAGUUUAGAUUGCUGUAAGAUCAGACUGAACUGGAAACACGGUUCUCUUGUAUGUGCUUUACAGAUGUUCAGGUGGUGUAAAGACACCAAAACCAUAAUACUUCCACCACCUGCUGUGUUCUCAAAUAGGAGAACCACAGAACAAUGGCACAAUAAAUGGAUGAAUAAAUAACUGUGCUGUGCGUAAUAUAAUUUUGCUGACAGUUAUUGCUCUUUAUCUCCAUUGGGUCUCCAAUGAAGAAAUUGUAACUUUCCCCUAAACAGUGGCUUGAUCAACCCCCUGAGGGUCCCCGGGGCUAAAGUCUGUUGUUGGUUCCCUUCUGAUGCACACUAUACAUGGCAAUGCUUUUCAUUCCCCAAAACGUGGUGGACUUUAUCGACUCCUGGUCAAUUUUAUGUAAAUUCGAGCUGUGACGUUUUUAGGCACGUGGUUUUAAUUAGUAUUGAUUAAACUGCACAUUUUGUUUGUGGCUCGAGACUGUCUUCAAACGGCAAGGAUUAGUUCGUGUCUUCAGGUUGCGGUCCUGGAACUGGGCCAAGCAGACUAAUCUGUGUUAGUUCUUUUGUCUGGAUAUAAUAAAACAGGCAUGGAGUUGCUACAUAGGGACUACAAGCCCAGCUCAUCAUCCACAGGGACAGACUGGAGCUGAGUAAGAAUCUUGGAGUCCCCAUCCAUGUCCUCUGGAUUCCCCAGUGGUGAGCUGGCUUCCACAUCCUGC